UUGGAUUUUUAGGAUUUAUUGUACGAGCACAUCAUAUAUUUACUGUAGGAUUAGAUAUUGAUGCACGAGCAUAUUUUACAUCAGCAACAAUAAUUAUUGCAAUUCCAACAGGAAUUAAAGUUUUUAGAUGAUUAGCUACAUAUAAUGGAUUU
This is a long non-coding RNA of Frieseomelitta varia, 152 nucleotides long. RefSeq lists it as uncharacterized. The record is from RefSeq and is a predicted model, not a curated record. NCBI's taxonomy places the organism in Eukaryota, Metazoa, Arthropoda, Insecta, Hymenoptera, Apidae. The transcript is spliced from 3 exons.